UCGAGCGGUAACAGGGGUAGCUUGCUACCCGCUGACGAGCGGCGGACGGGUGAGUAACGCGUGAGAAUCUGCCCAUCAGUGGGGGAUAACCCGGGGAAACUCGGGCUAAUACCGCAUACGUCCUACGGGACAAAGCAGGGGACCUUUUGGCCUUGCGCUGAUGGAUGAGCUCGCGUCGGAUUAGCUUGUUGGUGAGGUAAAGGCUCACCAAGGCGACGAUCCGUAGCUGGUCUGAGAGGAUGAUCAGCCACACCGGGACUGAGACACGGCCCGGACUCCUACGGGAGGCAGCAGUGGGGAAUCUUGGACAAUGGGGGCAACCCUGAUCCAGCCAUGCCGCGUGUGUGAAGAAGGCCUUCGGGUUGUAAAGCACUUUCAGUAGGGAGGAAGGCUUCCGGUUAAUACCCGGGAGUACUUGACGUUACCUACAGAAGAAGCACCGGCUAAUUUCGUGCCAGCAGCCGCGGUAAUACGAAAGGUGCAAGCGUUAAUCGGAAUUACUGGGCGUAAAGCGCGCGUAGGCGGUGUGUUAAGUCGGAUGUGAAAGCCCAGGGCUCAACCUUGGAAUUGCAUCCGAUACUGGCACGCUAGAGUGCAGUAGAGGGAGGUGGAAUUUCCGGUGUAGCGGUGAAAUGCGUAGAGAUCGGAAGGAACACCAGUGGCGAAGGCGGCCUCCUGGACUGACACUGACGCUGAGGUGCGA
RNAcentral lists this ribosomal RNA (703 nucleotides) under Alcanivorax sp. EPR179. Its description in RNAcentral is "bacterial SSU rRNA". It matches the Rfam family "Bacterial small subunit ribosomal RNA", at positions 62 to 756 of the family's 1533-position model. The record is from RNAcentral. Lineage: Bacteria; Pseudomonadati; Pseudomonadota; Gammaproteobacteria; Oceanospirillales; Alcanivoracaceae.